CAACUUUCAGCAGUGGAUGUCUAGGCUCGCACAUCGAUGAAGAACGCUGUGAACUGCGAUACGUAAUGCGAAUUGCAGGAUUCAGUGAGUCAUCGAAAUUUUGAACGCAUAUUGCACUUUCGGGUUAUGCCUGGAAGUAUGCCUGUAUCAGUGUCCGUA
This 159-nucleotide ribosomal RNA is filed under the name Pythium insidiosum. Its description in RNAcentral is "5.8S ribosomal RNA". It matches the Rfam family "5.8S ribosomal RNA". Rfam says of the family: 5.8S ribosomal RNA (5.8S rRNA) is a component of the large subunit of the eukaryotic ribosome. It is transcribed by RNA polymerase I as part of the 45S precursor that also contains 18S and 28S rRNA. Lineage: Eukaryota; Oomycota; Peronosporomycetes; Pythiales; Pythiaceae. The record is from RNAcentral.